AGAAUCAACGCUGGCGGCGUGCCUCAGACAUGCAAGUCGAACGCGAAAGUUCCCUUCGGGGAACAAGUAGAGUGGCGCACGGGUGAGUAACACGUAGGUAAUCUACCUUUGGAUAGGGAAUAACAACCGGAAACGGUUGCUAAUACCGCAUGAUGCAGCGGCACCUAAUGGUGACAGUUGUUAAAGCGGGGGAUCGAAAGACCUCGCGUCUGAAGAGGAGCCUGCGGCGGAUUAGCUAGUUGGUAAGGUAAUGGCUUACCAAGGCUACAAUCC
This 273-nucleotide ribosomal RNA is filed under the name uncultured soil bacterium. RNAcentral's name for it is "partial 16S ribosomal RNA". It matches the Rfam family "Bacterial small subunit ribosomal RNA", at positions 26 to 282 of the family's 1533-position model. The record is from RNAcentral.